This 23-nucleotide ribosomal RNA is filed under the name Acrosiphonia arcta. RNAcentral describes it as "partial 26S ribosomal RNA". The record is from RNAcentral. Lineage: Eukaryota; Viridiplantae; Chlorophyta; Ulvophyceae; Ulotrichales; Ulotrichaceae. RNAcentral also lists the same sequence under 2 other names.
CGACCUGAGAUCAAGCAAGGUAC